GGAGAGGUGCGAGAGUGGCCGAAUCGGGCGGUCUCGAAAACCGUUGUCCCUUGCAAGGGGGACCGUGGGUUCGAAUCCCACCCUCUCCG
Molecule: transfer RNA, 89 nt
Filed under: Spirochaetota bacterium
Lineage: Bacteria; Pseudomonadati; Spirochaetota
Description: Spirochaetes bacterium tRNA-Ser
Rfam family: tRNA
About the family: Transfer RNA (tRNA) molecules are approximately 80 nucleotides in length. Their secondary structure includes four short double-helical elements and three loops (D, anti-codon, and T loops).
Source: RNAcentral